AUUGAACGCUGGCGGAAUGCUUUACACAUGCAAGUCGGGCGGCAGCGCGGGGGCAACCCUGGCGGCGAGCGGCGAACGGGUGAGUAACACAUCGGAACGUACCCUGUCGUGGGGGAUAACGAAUCGAAAGAUUCGCUAAUACCGCAUACGACCUGAGGGUGAAAGCGGGGGAUCGCAAGACCUCGCGCGGGAGGAGCGGCCGAUGGCGGAUUAGCUAGUUGGUGGGGUAAAGGCCCACCAAGGCGACGAUCCGUAGCGGGUCUGAGAGGACGGCCCGCCACACUGGGACUGAGACACGGCCCAGACUCCUACGGGAGGCAGCAGUGGGGAAUUUUGGACAAUGGGGGGCAACCCUGAUCCAGCCAUUCCGCGUGAGUGAAGAAGGCCU
RNAcentral lists this ribosomal RNA (388 nucleotides) under uncultured bacterium. RNAcentral describes it as "bacterial SSU rRNA". It matches the Rfam family "Bacterial small subunit ribosomal RNA", at positions 29 to 417 of the family's 1533-position model. The record is from RNAcentral.